This 281-nucleotide long non-coding RNA is filed under the name Solanum tuberosum (potato). Its description in RNAcentral is "long non-coding RNA (STUB_LNC010504)". Lineage: Eukaryota; Viridiplantae; Streptophyta; Magnoliopsida; Solanales; Solanaceae. The record is from RNAcentral.
AACAAAAUUUAAACACCAACUCAAUUAAAAUGUAAAAGUUAAAGAUCGACUCAUUUAAAAAAUAGACUGUGCAAUUAAAUGCAAUAAAAAGUAAAUUGGAAACAAAUGUUAAUCCUCUAUGAUAGUAAGGAUAAAAAGAUGGAAACCACUUGCAAGGGGGUGACAUUAUGGGGUAUCAUUACAAUUCUACUCAAUUAUACCUCACUAAAAACAUUCUUCUUGGAUAUUCCCUCACUUUAUUAUUGACUUCCUUUUAUUUUCCAUCAUAUAUUCUCCCCCCC